UUUAUUAUUAACUAUAAUUUAUUUUUAUUUUUUACUUGGUAUUUUAUUUUAUUGUUAACUUAUGUGCAUCAAUUAUUAUAUCACUAGUAUGGUACACUCAUGCUACGUCUUGGGUUAAUUAUUUAUUUGUGUGAAAUUAUAAAGUAAAAAUUUGAAGAUUAAAAUAUAUUCUAAGCAAAGUUUUAGAAUUAGAUUGUUGGUCGAACUUAGGGAGGACAAAACACGAACUGUCCGAU
RNAcentral lists this long non-coding RNA (236 nucleotides) under Gossypium barbadense (sea-island cotton). RNAcentral's name for it is "long non-coding RNA (GBAR_LNC010350)". Lineage: Eukaryota; Viridiplantae; Streptophyta; Magnoliopsida; Malvales; Malvaceae. The record is from RNAcentral.